This 337-nucleotide unclassified non-coding RNA is filed under the name soil metagenome. RNAcentral's name for it is "partial contains 5.8S ribosomal RNA, internal transcribed spacer 2, and large subunit ribosomal RNA". The stretch from base 1 to 120 matches the Rfam family "5.8S ribosomal RNA", at positions 35 to 154 of the family's 154-position model. The record is from RNAcentral.
GAUGAAGAACGUAGCGAAAUGCGAUAAGUAAUGUGAAUUGCAGAAUUCAGUGAAUCAUCGAAUCUUUGAACGCACAUUGCGCCCGCCAGUAUUCUGGCGGGCAUGCCUGUUCGAGCGUCAUUUCAACCAUCAAGCCCCCCGGCUUGUGUUGGGGACCUGCGGCUGCCGCAGGCCCUGAAAACCAGUGGCGGGCUCGCUGUCACACCGGGCGUAGUAGAUUUUAUCUCGCUCAGGGCGUGCUGCGGGUUCCGGCCGUUAAAAAGCCUUUUUUACCCAAGGUUGACCUCGGAUCAGGUAGGAAGACCCGCUGAACUUAAGCAUAUCAAUAAGCGGAGGA